AUUUAAACAAAAAAUUGAAAAAUCGGACAUCAAAACCGGUUCAGAAAGAGAUGAGAAUUCUGGUGAACGGGCAUAAAAAACGCACAUUAUGAUAAGAGGGAGUAUAGAUGUAGCGUCAAUCAUGGAUAAGAUGAGAGAAAAUAGACUUAGAUGGUUUGGUCAUGUUAUGAGAAGAAAAAAAUCGGAAGCCGUAAGAAGAGUUAUAGAAAUUAAUGUUGAAGGAAGAAGAGGUAGAGGAAGACCAAAAAAGAGAUGGAGAGAUGUUAUUAAAUGCCAUAUGAGGACAGCUGAUGUGAGUGUAAAGGACGUGGGAGUGUAAUGAUAUACAUAGUACAUCAUUAAUAUCAUAAUGUAUUAUUUAAGACUUCAAUCAAUCAAUCACACAAAAUGAAAUGAGAUCGUGUCAAGUGGAAGUUUAGGAUAAAGGUGGCCGACCUCAAGUAGUUGGGAUUAAGGCGAGAAAGAAAAAGAAGAAGAAUGUUCAAUUGUACUUUUUUCGCUUUGAACAUUUUUUUAUCCACGCAGAGUUUAUAUUAAGAUAUUAUUUUGUAAUUGUACAUGACACUGUAUUUUGUAUAUUUUAUCAAGAAAUGUGAUAUGUUAUAUAUAAAUAAGUUAUAUACGAAUUUAAAUAUAUGAAUUUGUUUAUUGUUUGAGUCUCUGUUAUCAGA
Molecule: long non-coding RNA, 671 nt
Organism: Daktulosphaira vitifoliae (grape phylloxera)
Lineage: Eukaryota; Metazoa; Arthropoda; Insecta; Hemiptera; Phylloxeridae
Exons: 3
Source: RefSeq, a predicted model, not a curated record